RNAcentral lists this ribosomal RNA (462 nucleotides) under uncultured bacterium. RNAcentral's name for it is "partial 16S ribosomal RNA". It matches the Rfam family "Bacterial small subunit ribosomal RNA", at positions 339 to 795 of the family's 1533-position model. The record is from RNAcentral.
CUACGGGGGGCAGCAGUCGAGAAUCUUCGGCAAUGGACGCAAGUCCGACCGAGCGACGCCGCGUGCGGGAUGAAGGCCUUCGGGUUGUAAACCGCUGUCAGAGGGGAGGAAAUGCAUGGGGGCUAUCCCCUGUGUUUGACCUAUCCUCAGAGGAAGUACGGGCUAAGUGUCGUGCCAGCAGCCGCGGUAACACGAACCGUACGAACGUUAUUCGGAAUCACUGGGCGUAAAGGGUGCGUAGGCGGCCUUGCAAGUUGGGUGUGAAAUCCCUCGGCUCAACCGAGGAACUGCGCUCAAAACUGCAAGGCUUGAGGGAGACAGAGGUGAGCGGAACUCAUGGUGGAGCGGUGAAAUGCGUUGAUAUCAUUAGGAACACCGGUGGCGAAGGCGGCUCACUGGGUCUCUUCUGACGCUGAGGCACGAAAGCUAGGGUAGCGAACGGGAUUAGAUACCCCCGUAGUC